This 307-nucleotide small RNA is filed under the name Streptococcus pyogenes. Lineage: Bacteria; Bacillati; Bacillota; Bacilli; Lactobacillales; Streptococcaceae. The record is from RNAcentral.
AGUUAUAUUGGGAGUUGAGAUGCACGAUUCAUUUGAAUUUUGCACUCCCUAAAAAGGGUAAAGGUUAGAUUGUAUGAUAAAACUAAUAGCAACAGAAAUAGGAAUAAAGUGGAUAAUACAAUAAAAGUUCUAAAUAGCUUGAAACAAAGGGACUAGGAGUUUGAGUGGGAAUUUUAAUACUCUAGGGUAAUUUUAUGUAGAGUGUUUGAAAAUAAUAACGUUAAAAAGUUAGUAAUCGUUAAAGAAUUUAAAAUAAAUUGUAAUAGUUUAUCGCUUGUUUUAUCGCUUGAAGAACGAGCGAUAAAUU